This 253-nucleotide ribosomal RNA is filed under the name uncultured bacterium. RNAcentral describes it as "partial 16S ribosomal RNA". It matches the Rfam family "Bacterial small subunit ribosomal RNA", at positions 524 to 776 of the family's 1533-position model. The record is from RNAcentral.
UACGUAGGCAGCGAGCGUUGUUCGGAGUUACUGGGCGUAAAGGGUGUGUAGGCGGUUGUUUAAGUUUGGUGUGAAAUCUCCCGGCUCAACUGGGAGGGUGCGGCGAAUACUGAGAUGCUGGAGUGCCGGAGAGGUAAGCGGAAUUCCUGGUGUAGCGGUGAAAUGCGUAGAUAUCAGGAGGAACACCGGUGGUGUAGACGGCUUUCUGGACCGUAACUGACGCUGAGACACGAAAGCGUGGGUAGCAAACAGG